Molecule: ribosomal RNA, 253 nt
Filed under: uncultured Eubacteriales bacterium
Lineage: Bacteria; Bacillati; Bacillota; Clostridia; Eubacteriales
Description: uncultured Clostridiales bacterium partial 16S ribosomal RNA
Rfam family: Bacterial small subunit ribosomal RNA
Source: RNAcentral
UACGUAGGGGGCAAGCGUUGUCCGGAAUGACUGGGCGUAAAGGGAGUGUAGGCGGCUUAUCAAGUUAGAUGUGAAAUCCCUCGGCUCAACUGAGGAACUGCAACUAAAACUAUUUUUCUUGAGUGCAGGAGAGGAAAGUGGAAUUCCUAGUGUAGCGGUGAAAUGCGUAGAUAUUAGGAGGAACACCAGUGGCGAAGGCGACUUUCUGGACUGUAACUGACGUUGAGGCACGAAAGUGUGGGGAGCAAACAGG